RNAcentral lists this ribosomal RNA (434 nucleotides) under Duchailluia sp. MD-2014. RNAcentral's name for it is "partial 16S ribosomal RNA". The record is from RNAcentral. Lineage: Eukaryota; Metazoa; Arthropoda; Insecta; Blattodea; Blattidae.
CUUUUCUUGUAUAUAUAUUUGAAGUAUAACCUGCCCACUGAUUUGAAUUGAAUGGCCGCGGUAUUUUGACCGUGCAAAGGUAGCAUAAUCAUUAGUCUUUUAAUUGAAGGCUGGAAUGAAUGGUUGGACGAGGAAUAUACUGUCUUUAAAUUAAUUUAUUUAAUUUAAGUUUUAAGUUAAAAUGCUUAAAUUUUUUUAUGGGACGAGAAGACCCUAUAGAGUUUUAUAUUAUAAAUUUAUUAUUUUUGUUGUUAAUUUUUUAAUUUUUUAUAAUAUUUUGUUGGGGUGAUAGGAAUGAUUUAUUUAACUCUUCUUUUUAUUAAGAUAUUAAUUUGUAAAUUUUUGAUCCAUUAUUAUUGAUUAUAAGGCUAAAUUACCUUAGGGAUAACAGCGUAAUCUUUUUUGAGAGUUCUUAUUGAUAAAUUGGUUUGCGA